RNAcentral lists this transfer RNA (68 nucleotides) under Elephantulus edwardii (Cape elephant shrew). RNAcentral's name for it is "tRNA-Phe". It matches the Rfam family "tRNA". From Rfam's summary of the family: Transfer RNA (tRNA) molecules are approximately 80 nucleotides in length. Their secondary structure includes four short double-helical elements and three loops (D, anti-codon, and T loops). Further hydrogen bonds mediate the characteristic L-shaped molecular structure. tRNAs have two regions of fundamental functional importance: the anti-codon, which is responsible for specific mRNA codon recognition, and the 3' end, to which the tRNAs corresponding amino acid is attached (by aminoacyl-tRNA synthetases). tRNAs cope with the degeneracy of the genetic code in two manners: having more than one tRNA (with a specific anti-codon) for a particular amino acid; and 'wobble' base-pairing, i.e. permitting non-standard base-pairing at the 3rd anti-codon position. The record is from RNAcentral. Lineage: Eukaryota; Metazoa; Chordata; Mammalia; Macroscelidea; Macroscelididae.
GUUAAUGUAGCUUAGUAAAAAGCAAGGCACUGAAAAUGCCUAGACGGGUUUACUUAACCCCAUAAACA